RNAcentral lists this ribosomal RNA (450 nucleotides) under uncultured Acholeplasma sp. RNAcentral describes it as "bacterial SSU rRNA". It matches the Rfam family "Bacterial small subunit ribosomal RNA", at positions 925 to 1382 of the family's 1533-position model. Lineage: Bacteria; Bacillati; Mycoplasmatota; Mollicutes; Acholeplasmatales; Acholeplasmataceae. The record is from RNAcentral.
ACAAGCGGUGGAUCAUGUUGUUUAAUUCGACGAUACGCGAAGAACUUACCAGGUCUUGACAUCCCCUGCAAAGCUAUGGAGACAUAGUGGAGGUUAUCAGGGAGACAGGUGGUGCAUGGUUGUCGUCAGCUCGUGUCGUGAGAUGUUGGGUUAAGUCCCGCAACGAGCGCAACCCUUAUUGCUAGUUACCAUCAUUAAGUUGGGGACUCUAGCGAGACUGCCAGUGAUAAACUGGAGGAAGGUGGGGAUGACGUCAAAUCAUCAUGCCCCUUAUGACCUGGGCUACAAACGUGAUACAAUGGCUGAAACAAAGGGCAGCGAAGGAGCGAUCUGGAGCGAAACCCAAAAAGCAGUCUCAGUUCGGAUUGAAGUCUGCAACUCGACUUCAUGAAGUCGGAAUCGCUAGUAAUCGCGGAUCAGAACGCCGCGGUGAAUACGUUCUCGGGGUUU